UACGGAGGAUUCAAGCGUUAUCCGGAUUUAUUGGGUUUAAAGGGUGCGUAGGCGGUCGGAUAAGUUAGAGGUGAAAUCCCGAGGCUCAACCAUAAAAUUGCCGUUGAAACUGGAAGACUUGAGUGUGUUUGAGGUAGGCGGAAUGCGUGGUGUAGCGGUGAAAUGCAUAGAUAUCACGCAGAACUCCGAUUGCGAAGGCAGCUUACUAAGCCAUAACUGACACUGAAGCACGAAAGCGUGGGGAUCAAACAGG
RNAcentral lists this ribosomal RNA (253 nucleotides) under uncultured Parabacteroides sp. Its description in RNAcentral is "partial 16S ribosomal RNA". It matches the Rfam family "Bacterial small subunit ribosomal RNA", at positions 524 to 776 of the family's 1533-position model. Lineage: Bacteria; Pseudomonadati; Bacteroidota; Bacteroidia; Bacteroidales; Tannerellaceae. The record is from RNAcentral.